GUGGGCGUAGCUCAGUUGGUAGAGCCCCGGCUUGUGGUGCCGGCUGUCGCGGGUUCGAGUCCCGUCGCUCACCCCG
This 76-nucleotide transfer RNA is filed under the name Nakamurella flava. Its description in RNAcentral is "Nakamurella sp. N5BH11 tRNA-His". It matches the Rfam family "tRNA". From Rfam's summary of the family: Transfer RNA (tRNA) molecules are approximately 80 nucleotides in length. Their secondary structure includes four short double-helical elements and three loops (D, anti-codon, and T loops). The record is from RNAcentral. Lineage: Bacteria; Bacillati; Actinomycetota; Actinomycetes; Nakamurellales; Nakamurellaceae.